This 906-nucleotide ribosomal RNA is filed under the name uncultured bacterium. Its description in RNAcentral is "bacterial SSU rRNA". It matches the Rfam family "Bacterial small subunit ribosomal RNA", at positions 31 to 905 of the family's 1533-position model. The record is from RNAcentral.
GAACGCUGGCGGCAUGCCUUACACAUGCAAGUCGAACGGUAACAGCACUUCGGUGGCUGACGAGUGGCGAACGGGUGAGUAAUACAUCGGAACGUGCCCGAUCGUGGGGGAUAACUACUCGAAAAGAGUGGCUAAUACCCGCAUACGAUCUACCGGAUGAAAGCGGGGGAUUUCGCAAGACCUUCGCGCGGACCGGGAGCGGCCCCGAUGGCAGAUUAGGGUUAGUUUGGUGGGAUAAAAGGCCUUACCAAGGCCCGACGAUUUCUGUAGCUGGUUUCUGAGAGGACGACCCCAGCCCACACCUGGGACUGAGACCCACGGCCCCAGACUCCUACCGGGAGGCAGCCAGUGGGGAAUUUUGGACAAUGGGGGAAACCCUGAUCCAGCCAUGCCGCGUGCAGGAUGAAGGCCUUCGGGUUGUAAACUGCUUUUGUACGGAACGAAAAGACUCUUUCUAAUACAGAGGGUCCAUGACGGUACCGUAAGAAUAAGCACCGGCUAACUACGUGCCAGCAGCCGCGGUAAUACGUAGGGUGCAAGCGUUAAUCGGAAUUACUGGGCGUAAAGCGUGCGCAGGCGGUUAUAUAAGACAGAUGUGAAAUCCCCGGGCUCAACCUGGGAACUGCAUUAGUGACUGUAUAGCUGGAGUGCGGCAGAGGGGGAUGGAAUUCCGCGUGUAGCAGUGAAAUGCGUAGAUAUGCGGAGGAACACCGAUGGCGAAGGCAAUCCCCUGGGCCUGCACUGACGCUCAUGCACGAAAGCGUGGGGAGCAAACAGGAUUAGAUACCCUGGUAGUCCACGCCCUAAACGAUGUCAACUGGUUGUUGGGAAUUUACUUUCUCAGUAACGAAGCUAACGCGUGAAGUUGACCGCCUGGGGAGUACGGCCGCAAGGUUAAAACUCAAA